CAGUCGCCACGGUAAUACGAAGGGGGCUAGCGUUGCUCGGAAUUACUGGGCGUAAAGGGCGCGUAGGCGGACAGUUCAGUCAGGGGUGAAGGCCCGGGGCUCAACCUCGGAAUUGCCUUCGAUACUGGCUGUCUUGAGUAUGAGAGAGGUGUGUGGAACUCCGAGUGUAGAGGUGAAAUUCGUAGAUAUUCGGAAGAACACCAGUGGCGAAGGCGACACACUGGCUCAUUACUGACGCUGAGGCGCGAAAGCGUGGGGAGCAAAUGGGAUUAGAUACCCCAGUAGUCCCUGUCUCUUAUAA
This 301-nucleotide ribosomal RNA is filed under the name uncultured bacterium. Its description in RNAcentral is "partial 16S ribosomal RNA". It matches the Rfam family "Bacterial small subunit ribosomal RNA", at positions 509 to 809 of the family's 1533-position model. The record is from RNAcentral.